This 589-nucleotide ribosomal RNA is filed under the name uncultured bacterium. Its description in RNAcentral is "partial 16S ribosomal RNA". It matches the Rfam family "Bacterial small subunit ribosomal RNA", at positions 355 to 1376 of the family's 1533-position model. The record is from RNAcentral.
UGGGGAAUAUUGGACAAUGGGCGCAAGCCUGAUCCAGCAAUGCCGCGUGUGUGAAGAAGGCCUUCGGGUUGUAAAGCACUUUUAUCAGGAGCGAAACGCUGUCGGCUAAUACCCGGCGGAACUGACGGUACCUGAGGAAUAAGCACCGGCUAACUUCGUGCCAGCAGCCGCGGUAAUACGAAGGGUGCAAGCGUUAAUCGGAAUUACUGGGCGUAAAGCGUGCGUAGGCGGUUUCUUAAGUCUGCUGUGAAAUCCCCGGGCUCAACCUGGGAAUGGCAGUGGAUACUGGGAGGCUAGAGUGUGUCAGAGGGUGGUGGAAUUCCCGGUGUAGCGGUGAAAUGCGUAGAGAUCGGGAGGAACAUCAGUGGCGAAGGCGACCACCUGGGACAACACUGACGCUGAGGCACGAAAGCGUGGGGGAGCAAACAGGAUUAGAUACCCUGGUAGUCCACGCCCUAAACGAUGCGAACUGGAUGUUGGUCUCAACUCGGAGAUCAGUGUCGAAGCUAACGCGUUAAGUUCGCCGCCUGGGGAGUACGGUCGCAAGACUGAAACUUAAAUGAAUUGACGGGGUCAUAGCUGUUUCCUG